CCUACGGGAGGUAGCAGUGGGGAAUAUUGCACAAUGGGGGAAACCCUGAUGCAGCAACGCCGCGUGAGUGAAGAAGGAUUUCGGUAUGUAAAGCUCUAUCAGCAGGGAAGAAGAUGACGGUACCUGACCAAGAAGCCCCGGAUAACUACGUGCCAGCAGCCGCGGUAAUACGUAGGGGGCAAGCGUUAUCCGGAUUUACUGGGGGUAAAGGGCGCGCAGACGGCAGUGCAAGUCUGGAGUGAAAGCCCGGGGCCACACCCCGGCACUGCUCUGGAAACUGUGCGGCUAGAGCACUGGAGGGGCAGGCGGAAUUCCUAGUGUAGCGGUGAAAUGCGUAGAUAUUAGGAGGAACACCAGUGGCGAAGGCGGCCUGCUGGACAGUAACUGACGUUGAGGCUCGAAAGCGUGGGGAGCAAACAGGAUUAGAUACCCGAGUAGUC
This 440-nucleotide ribosomal RNA is filed under the name uncultured bacterium. RNAcentral's name for it is "partial 16S ribosomal RNA". It matches the Rfam family "Bacterial small subunit ribosomal RNA", at positions 338 to 795 of the family's 1533-position model. The record is from RNAcentral.